CUCGAGUGGCGGGCGGUUGGCGUAUCCCGCGCGCUGGGCCCGCACCGGGGUCGUGUGUCCUUGGGGGUCGCGGGUCUCCUCGGUUCUGCACCCUCCAGACCCUUUCCUGGCCACAGCCAGCUGUGCCACCUCCCAGAGGUGUAUUUGGCGAGUAUCUAAUCUCUGCCUCCGUUUCCUCUUCUUUAAAAUGGCAUUCCGACCUCCCUAAGAGUGGUUUUAAGAGUUCAAUAAAAUGAUUGACAACAGACCUGGCACGGGGCAGGAGACGUGCAUCAUUGAUAACAUUUGUUGUUGGGCUUCUUUUUAACUUUUCCAGAAACACAGUUCGCUGAAAGCUCCAGGGAACCUAGGAAGGGGUCAGAACUCCAGUUGUAGUGUCCCUGGCCUCUCUCGGAUCCCAGAAGGAACCCGGGCUCUACCCGAAUGCCUAGGAAUCUCCCCCCACCCGGCCCCCCACUCCUGGCUGUUGUCUGGGAUGUCCACUGGAAUUUAUGGAGGAGUUCUGAUUUCUCCCAGCCUCCUUUCCUUCCUCAACCUAGAUUUGACAAAAGCCGAGGGGAAAAGUCGGGAAUGAUCCUUUGGCCUGGCAGAAUUUAGCAUCCUUCCUUCUCCAAAUGCAAAGGUGCAUUUGGAUUUUUGUAGAGGGUCACAAAAGCUAUGUCGAUGAGCUAUGACUUUUUUUAAUAUUUAUUUUUUAGCUGUAGGUGGAUGCAAUACCUUUAUUUAUUUUUAUGUGGUGCUGACUAUUGAAUCCAGUGCCUCACACAUGCUAGGUGUGCUCUCUACCUCUGAGCCACAACUCCAGCUCAAGAAUACAGAAAAAAAAAAAAAAAAAUU
This 837-nucleotide long non-coding RNA is filed under the name Marmota monax (woodchuck). Lineage: Eukaryota; Metazoa; Chordata; Mammalia; Rodentia; Sciuridae. The record is from RNAcentral.